UGCCAUAGCCGCGCAUCACCUCUCCAACCGGGAGAGGGUCGCGGGGGCUUCUUGCCCCACGCGCGCUCUCCCGGCUGGAGAGGUGACGCGUGGCU
Molecule: microRNA precursor, 95 nt
Filed under: Podarcis lilfordi (Lilford's wall lizard)
Lineage: Eukaryota; Metazoa; Chordata; Lepidosauria; Squamata; Lacertidae
Source: RNAcentral